AGUCGAACGGGCUCUUCGGAGCAAGUGGCGGACGGGUGAGUAACGCGUGAGAAUGUGCCUUGAGGAUGGGGAUAACAAUAGGAAACUAAUGCUAAGACCCAAUAUGCCUGGUAAGGGUGAAAAAUGAAAAUUGCCUGAAGAGGAGCUCGCGUCUGAUUAGCUAGUUGGGGUGGUAAAAGCGCACCAAGGCAACGAUCAGUAGCUGGUCUGAGAGGAUGAGCAGCCACACUGGGACUGAGACACGGCCCAGACUCCUACGGGAGGCAGCAGUGGGGAAUUUUCCGCAAUGGGCGAAAGCCUGACGGAGCAAUACCGCGUGAGGGAGGAAGGCUCUUGGGUUGUAAACCUCAAAACUUAGGGAAGAAAAAAAUGACGGUACCUAAUUUAAGCAUCGGCUAACUCCGUGCCAGCAGCCGCGGUAAUAC
RNAcentral lists this ribosomal RNA (425 nucleotides) under uncultured bacterium. RNAcentral describes it as "bacterial SSU rRNA". It matches the Rfam family "Bacterial small subunit ribosomal RNA", at positions 60 to 526 of the family's 1533-position model. The record is from RNAcentral.